Molecule: ribosomal RNA, 263 nt
Filed under: uncultured archaeon
Lineage: Archaea
Description: partial 16S ribosomal RNA
Rfam family: Archaeal small subunit ribosomal RNA
Source: RNAcentral
CAGCCGUAAACAAUGUGCGUUAGGUGUGUCGGUAACCACGUGUUACUGAUGCGCCGAAGAGAAAUCGUGAAACGCACCACCUGGGAAGUACGGUCGCAAGGCUGAAACUUAAAGGAAUUGGCGGGGGAGCACCACAACAGGUGGAGCCUGCGGGUUUAAUUUGGAUUCAACGCCGGACAUCUCACCGGAUAAGACAGCUGAAUGAUUGUCAAUCUGAAGGUUUUACAUGACUAGCUGAGAGGAGGUGCAUGGCGUCAGUGACU